UUGCAGACUCACGAGUUCAAACCAGGACUCUCGCAGCUGCAGCACUUGACAGUGUUGAAGAUGGUUGCUGCCCCUUCAAGAUUGUGUUUGAUGAAGACUUCUAUGUACAUUUCAUUUGUAUUUUGCUUUGCUUUAAGUGUGUCUUAGGUAGUGCUUAGAGGUUGUGAUGGAGGAGGGCCAAGCACACCUACCCAAGGAAGCCAAGGCACAAGCCAAGGAGAGCGUCUAGACCAAGACCAAGACCAAGGUGAGCGUCUAGGACGUGAAGGUGAGCGUCUAGGACGUGAAGGUGAGCGUCUAGGACGUAAAGGAGGGAGGCUAUCCAUGGAGCUAGACCGUCUAGGCCCCCUUACAAGAUCCAUGGCCAAACAUGCUCACACACAAGUAAAUGAAGCCACGGAUGGAAGAGAGAAGGCUUUGUAUAUGUUUGCAUAAAGGCCCAUUAGGGGUACUUAGUAGAUAGGAUAGUGUAGAAAGCACUUUUGAUGGAAACAUUCUAGAAACUAGGGUUGUGUGGCCGGUCAUUGCACAUGGCACAUGGCUUAGCAUUUAGAUUUAAUUUUGGUUUUCUUUUCCUUAGAAGAUAGCUUAACAUUUACGUCCAAGAUAGCUUAUAAAUAGGAAAGCUAUCUCAUUGUAUUUUUCAAGUUUAAUUGAGUAAGGUUAUGCUGCCAUUUUUGUGCACAAACUUUACUUCUCCUAGAAAUCUAGACUCUAAACUUCAAUCCUUUCACCUUCUCCCUUGAGCUGGCCGAACCACUCAAACACCAUACUCAUCAUGCACCUACAAGGCCAACACAACUCCUAGGAGGGUCUUGAUCAUCUCACCCAUUGCUUCUGCACCUUAUUUUCUACUUUGAUUCAAGAAGAACACAUGAAAAUGCCAUCAGGUUGUCUAAUAAGUGUGCUUUUUGCUGAGUAACUCACCUCAUAACCA
This 937-nucleotide long non-coding RNA is filed under the name Phaseolus vulgaris (common bean). RNAcentral describes it as "long non-coding RNA (PVUL_LNC004949)". The record is from RNAcentral. Lineage: Eukaryota; Viridiplantae; Streptophyta; Magnoliopsida; Fabales; Fabaceae.